RNAcentral lists this unclassified non-coding RNA (379 nucleotides) under Hevea brasiliensis (rubber tree). Lineage: Eukaryota; Viridiplantae; Streptophyta; Magnoliopsida; Malpighiales; Euphorbiaceae. The record is from RNAcentral.
UGUAAAUGUCCCACCAUUUCUUGAUCAUCAUCUUGAUGUCUUCUCUGUCCAUGUUCUUUUCUUUCCCAGUAUACCUCCAUGGCUUGGAGCCAGCUGCACAGUAGUGAACAACCUUGAGCUUGUCAAGUUCAAUAUUCUCAGGAUGGCGCCAGAGCAAGGCCAAAACGAGGUUGUAAAUUGGAGGAAGUGGCCUGAAAAUGUCCUUGAAGAACAUGUUCAGGAAAUCCUGCUCAGCAAAGAGAGUAGGAGUGGUAACUUUGACAGUACUCAAGAGAUCAUGGUAUGUGGACAGAUUGGGUUCAAAAACAAACAUGCCAGCGUUGAAGUAAAGGGGAGGUUUAGGACCCAUCUCAGUAGGCCACUGAACCCUAUCAGGGCA